GAUGAACGCUGGCGGCGUGCUUAACACAUGCAAGUCGAACGAAGCACUUAAGAUUGAUUCUUCGGAUGACGUCUUUUGUGACUUAGUGGCGGACGGGUGAGUAACGCGUGGGUAACCUGCCUCACACAGGGGGAUAACAGUUAGAAAUGACUGCUAAUACCGCAUAACCCGAUAGGAUCGCAUGAUCCAGACGGAAAAGAUUUAUCGGUGUGAGAUGGACCCGCGUCUGAUUAGCUAGUUUGUGAGGUAACGGCCCACCAAGGCGACGAUCAGUAGCCGGACUGAGAGGGUGAACGGCCACAUUGGGAGUGGGACACGGACCAAACUCCUCCGGGAGGCAGCAGUGGGGAAUAUUGCACAAUGGGGGAAAGCCUGAUGCAGCGACGCCGCGUGAGUGAAGAAGUAUUUAGGUAUGUAAAGCUCUAUCAGCAGGGAAGACAAUGACGGUACCUGACUAAGAAGCCCCGGCUAACUACGU
RNAcentral lists this ribosomal RNA (478 nucleotides) under uncultured bacterium. RNAcentral describes it as "partial 16S ribosomal RNA". It matches the Rfam family "Bacterial small subunit ribosomal RNA", at positions 28 to 506 of the family's 1533-position model. The record is from RNAcentral.